RNAcentral lists this ribosomal RNA (253 nucleotides) under uncultured bacterium. RNAcentral's name for it is "partial 16S ribosomal RNA". It matches the Rfam family "Bacterial small subunit ribosomal RNA", at positions 524 to 776 of the family's 1533-position model. The record is from RNAcentral.
GACGAACCGUGCAAACGUUGUUCGGAAUCACUGGGCUUAAAGGGCGCGUAGGCGGGUUUCCAAGUCUGUGGUGAAAUCCUCCAGCUUAACUGGAGAAGUGCCGUGGAUACUGGGAAUCUCGAGGAGGGUAGGGGCAUCUGGAACUGCCGGUGGAGCGGUGAAAUGCGCAGAUAUCAGGAGGAACACCGGUGGCGAAGGCGGGUCUCUGGGCCGAUACUGACGCUGAGGAGCGAAAGCGUGGGGAGCGAACAGG